CCUACGGGAGGCUGCAGUGGGGAAUAUUGCACAAUGGGGGAAACCCUGAUGCAGCGACGCCGCGUGAGUGAAGAAGUAAUUCGUUAUGUAAAGCUCUAUCAGCAGGGAAGAAAAUGACGGUACCUGAGUAAGAAGCGCCGACUAACGACGUGCCAGCAGCCGCGGUAAUACGUAGGGGGCAAGCGUUAUCCGGAUUUACUGGGUGUAAGGGGAGGGUAGACGGCAGUGCAGGUCUGGAGUUAAAGGCGGGGGCUCAACCCCCGGACUGCUCUGGAAAGGGUACGGCUGGAGUGCAGGAGAGGUAAGUGGAAUUCCUAGUGUAGCGGUGAAAUGCGUAGAUAUUAGGAGGAACACCAGUGGCGAAGGCGGCUUACUGGACUGUAACUGACGUUGAGGCUCGAAAGCGUGGGGAGCAAACAGGAUUAGAUACCCGUGUAGUC
Molecule: ribosomal RNA, 440 nt
Filed under: uncultured bacterium
Lineage: Bacteria
Description: partial 16S ribosomal RNA
Rfam family: Bacterial small subunit ribosomal RNA
Source: RNAcentral